CCAUGCAGUCGAGCGAGGUGUAUACACCUAGCGGCGGACGGGUGAGUAACACGUGGGUAACCUGCCUCAGAGAGGGGAAUAGCCUUCCGAAAGGAAGAUUAAUACCGCAUAAUAUACGCAUUUAGCAUUAUGAGCGUAUCAAAGGAGAAAUCCGCUUUGAGAUGGGCCCGCGGCGCAUUAGCUAGUUGGAGAGGUAACGGCUCACCAAGGCGACGAUGCGUAGCCGACCUGAGAGGGUGAUCGGCCACAUUGGAACUGAGACACGGUCCAGACUCCUACGGGAGGCAGCAGUGGGGAAUAUUGCACAAUGGGGGAAACCCUGAUGCAGCAACGCCGCGUGAAUGAUGAAGGCCUUCGGGUCGUAAAGUUCUUUGAUUGGGGACGAUAAUGACGGUACCCAAAAAACAAGCCACGGCUAACUACGUGCCAGCAGCCGCGGUAAUACGUAGGUGGCGAGCGUUGUCCGGAUUUACUGGGCGUAAAGGAUGCGUAGGUGGAAAUUUAAGUGGGAUGUGAAAUCCCCGGGCUCAACCCGGGAACUGCAUUCCAAACUGGGUUUCUUGAGUGCAGGAGAGGAAAGCGGAAUUCCUAGUGUAGCGGUGAAAUGCGUAGAUAUUAGGAAGAACACCAGUGGCGAAGGCGGCUUUCUGGACUGUAACUGACACUGAGGCAUGAAAGCGUGGGGAGCAAACAGGAUUAGAUACCCUGGUAGUCCACGCCGUAAACGAUGGGUACUAGGUGUAGGGGGUAUCAACUCCCCCUGUGCCGUCGUUAACACAAUAAGUACCCCGCCUGGGGAGUACGGUCGCAAGAUUAAAACUCAAAGGAAUUGACGGGGGCCCGCACAAGCAGCGGAGCAUGUGGUUUAAUUCGAGGCAACGCGAAGAACCUUACCUAGACUUGACAUCUCCUGAAUUACCCUUAACCGGGGAAGCCCUUCGGGGCAGGAAGACAGGUGGUGCAUGGUUGUCGUCAGCUC
RNAcentral lists this ribosomal RNA (979 nucleotides) under Youngiibacter sp. RNAcentral describes it as "bacterial SSU rRNA". It matches the Rfam family "Bacterial small subunit ribosomal RNA", at positions 53 to 1061 of the family's 1533-position model. Lineage: Bacteria; Bacillati; Bacillota; Clostridia; Eubacteriales; Clostridiaceae. The record is from RNAcentral.